RNAcentral lists this ribosomal RNA (402 nucleotides) under uncultured bacterium. RNAcentral describes it as "bacterial SSU rRNA". It matches the Rfam family "Bacterial small subunit ribosomal RNA", at positions 355 to 749 of the family's 1533-position model. The record is from RNAcentral.
UGGGGAAUUUUGGACAAUGGGCGCAAGCCUGAUCCAGCAAUGCCGCGUGAGUGAAGAAGGCCUUCGGGUUGUAAAGCUCUUUUAGUUGAAAAGAAAAAAUCGUGACUAAUAAUCACGAUUCAUGACGGUAUCAACAGAAAAAGCACCGGCUAACUACGUGCCAGCAGCCGCGGUAAUACGUAGGGUGCAAGCGUUAAUCGGAAUUACUGGGCGUAAAGGGUGCGUAGGCGGUUUUGUAAGUCAGAUGUGAAAUCCCCGGGCUUAACCUGGGAAUUGCGUUUGAAACUGCAAGACUAGAGUGCGGCAGAGGGAGGUGGAAUUCCAUGUGUAGCAGUGAAAUGCGUAGAGAUAUGGAAGAACAUCGAUGGCGAAGGCAACCUCCUGGGCUAGCACUGACGCUCA